AACGAACGCUGGCGGCGUGGAUAAGACAUGCAAGUCGAACGGGAACUUCAGCUGUAGCAAUACAGUUGAAGUUUUAGUGGCGAACGGGUGCGUAACACGUGGGCAAUCUGCCGAGAAGUGGGGGAUAGCUCGCCGAAAGGCGAAUUAAUACCGCAUAUGAUCAGCUAAGACAUCUUAGCGACAUCAAAGCCGGGGCAACCUGGCGCUUUUUGAGGAGCCCGCGGCCUAUCAGCUAGUUGGUGAGGUAACGGCUCACCAAGGCUAUGACGGGUAGCUGGUCUGAGAGGACGACCAGUCACACUGGAACUGAGACACGGUCCAGACACCUACGGGUGGCAGCAGUCGAGAAUUUUUCUCAAUGGGGCAACCCUGAAGGAGCGACGCCGCGUGGAGGA
Molecule: ribosomal RNA, 395 nt
Filed under: uncultured bacterium
Lineage: Bacteria
Description: bacterial SSU rRNA
Rfam family: Bacterial small subunit ribosomal RNA
Source: RNAcentral